Molecule: ribosomal RNA, 28 nt
Filed under: Klossia helicina
Lineage: Eukaryota; Apicomplexa; Adeleidae
Also listed under: 3 other names
Description: large subunit ribosomal RNA
Source: RNAcentral
GGGAAGUUUAGCCGGGAAGUAAGCGUCU